GUCCACGCCGUAAACUAUGGACGCUAGGUGUGGGGACAUUCCACGUUCUCUGCGCCGCAGCUAACGCAUUAAGCGUCCCGCCUGGGGAGUACGACCGCAAGGUUAAACUCAAAGGAAUUGACGGGGGCCCGCACAAGCAGCGGAGCAUGCGGCUUAAUUCGAUGCAACGCGAAGAACCUUACCUAGGCUUGACAUGCAUUGAAAACUGUUAGAGAUAACAGGUCCGCAAGGGCUUUGCACAGGUGGUGCAUGGCUGUCGU
RNAcentral lists this ribosomal RNA (260 nucleotides) under uncultured bacterium. RNAcentral describes it as "partial 16S ribosomal RNA". It matches the Rfam family "Bacterial small subunit ribosomal RNA", at positions 793 to 1055 of the family's 1533-position model. The record is from RNAcentral.